This 301-nucleotide ribosomal RNA is filed under the name uncultured bacterium. RNAcentral's name for it is "partial 16S ribosomal RNA". It matches the Rfam family "Bacterial small subunit ribosomal RNA", at positions 509 to 807 of the family's 1533-position model. The record is from RNAcentral.
CAGUAGCCACGGUAAUACGUAGGUGGCAAGCGUUGUCCGGAAUUAUUGGGCGUAAAGGGCUCGCAGGCGGUUUCUUAAGUCUGAUGUGAAAGCCCCCGGCUCAACCGGGGAGGGUCAUUGGAAACUGGGAAACUUGAGUGCAGAAGAGGAGAGUGGAAUUCCACGUGUAGCGGUGAACUGCGUAGAGAUGUGGAGGAACACCAGUGGCGAAGGCGACUCUCUGGUCUGUAACUGACGCUGAGGAGCGAAAGCGUGGGGAGCGAACAGGAUUAGAUACCCCGGUAGUCCCUGUCUCUUAUAC